AACUCUUAGUGGUGGAUCACUUGGCUUGUGCGUCGAUGAAGAACGCAGCUAGCUGCGAGAACUAAUGUGAUUUGCAGGACACAUUGAUCAUUGAGACUUCGAACGCACCUUGCGGCCUCCUGGGGCUACGCCUGUCUGAGGGUCG
RNAcentral lists this ribosomal RNA (145 nucleotides) under Salmo trutta (river trout). RNAcentral's name for it is "5.8S ribosomal RNA (ENSSTUG00000018421.1)". It matches the Rfam family "5.8S ribosomal RNA". Rfam says of the family: 5.8S ribosomal RNA (5.8S rRNA) is a component of the large subunit of the eukaryotic ribosome. It is transcribed by RNA polymerase I as part of the 45S precursor that also contains 18S and 28S rRNA. The record is from RNAcentral. Lineage: Eukaryota; Metazoa; Chordata; Actinopteri; Salmoniformes; Salmonidae.